RNAcentral lists this ribosomal RNA (1074 nucleotides) under uncultured Gammaproteobacteria bacterium. Its description in RNAcentral is "bacterial SSU rRNA". It matches the Rfam family "Bacterial small subunit ribosomal RNA", at positions 49 to 1121 of the family's 1533-position model. Lineage: Bacteria; Pseudomonadati; Pseudomonadota; Gammaproteobacteria. The record is from RNAcentral.
CUACCAUGCAGUCGAGCGGCAGCGGGUCCUUCGGGAUGCCGGCGAGCGGCGGACGGGUGAGUAAUGCCUAGGAAUCUGCCUGGUAGUGGGGGAUAACUCGGGGAAACUCGAGCUAAUACCGCAUACGUCCUACGGGAGAAAGUGGGGGAUCUUCGGACCUCACGCUAUCAGAUGAGCCUAGGUCGGAUUAGCUAGUUGGUGAGGUAAAGGCUCACCAAGGCGACGAUCCGUAACUGGUCUGAGAGGAUGAUCAGUCACACUGGAACUGAGACACGGUCCAGACUCCUACGGGAGGCAGCAGUGGGGAAUAUUGGACAAUGGGCGAAAGCCUGAUCCAGCCAUGCCGCGUGUGUGAAGAAGGUCUUCGGAUUGUAAAGCACUUUAAGUUGGGAGGAAGGGCAGUAAGUUAAUACCUUGCUGUUUUGACGUUACCAACAGAAUAAGCACCGGCUAACUUCGUGCCAGCAGCCGCGGUAAUACGAAGGGUGCAAGCGUUAAUCGGAAUUACUGGGCGUAAAGCGCGCGUAGGUGGUUCAGCAAGUUGGAGGUGAAAUCCCCGGGCUCAACCUGGGAACUGCCUCCAAAACUACUGGGCUAGAGUAUGGUAGAGGGUGGUGGAAUUUCCUGUGUAGCGGUGAAAUGCGUAGAUAUAGGAAGGAACACCAGUGGCGAAGGCGACCACCUGGACUAAUACUGACACUGAGGUGCGAAAGCGUGGGGAGCAAACAGGAUUAGAUACCCUGGUAGUCCACGCCGUAAACGAUGUCGACUAGCCGUUGGGAUCCUUGAGAUCUUAGUGGCGCAGCUAACGCGAUAAGUCGACCGCCUGGGGAGUACGGCCGCAAGGUUUAAAACUCAAAUGAAUUGACGGGGGCCCGCACAAGCGGUGGANCAUGUGGUUUAAUUCNAANCACCNCGAAAAACCUUACCUGGCCUUGACAUGCUGANANCUUUCCANANAUGGAUUGGUGCCUUCNGGAACUCAAACACAGGUGCUGCAUGGCUGUCCUCANCUCNUGUCCUGAAAUGUUGGGUUAANUCCNUACNANCCCANCCCUUGUCCUUANUUACCAC